AACGAACGCUGGCGGCAUGCCUAACACAUGCAAGUCGAACGAGACCUUCGGGUCUAGUGGCGCACGGGUGCGUAACGCGUGGGAACCUGCCUUUAGGUUCGGAAUAACUCAGAGAAAUUUGAGCUAAUACCGGAUGAUGUCUUCGGACCAAAGAUUUAUCGCCUUUAGAUGGGCCCGCGUUGGAUUAGCUAGUUGGUGGGGUAAAGGCCUACCAAGGCGACGAUCCAUAGCUGGUCUGAGAGGAUGAUCAGCCACACUGGGACUGAGACACGGCCCAGACUCCGCCGGGAGGCAGCGGGGGGGAUUAUUGGACAAGGGGCGAAGGCUUGACCCAGCAAUCCCGCGUGGGUAAUGAGGCCUUUGGGGUUGAAAACCUUUUUUCCCGGAGAUGAAAAUCACAGUACGGGGAAAAUAGCCCCCGCCUACCCCCGCC
Molecule: ribosomal RNA, 433 nt
Filed under: uncultured bacterium
Lineage: Bacteria
Description: partial 16S ribosomal RNA
Rfam family: Bacterial small subunit ribosomal RNA
Source: RNAcentral